RNAcentral lists this ribosomal RNA (861 nucleotides) under Ascomycota sp. ROV11Q2FVU-02. Its description in RNAcentral is "SSU rRNA". It matches the Rfam family "Eukaryotic small subunit ribosomal RNA", at positions 57 to 928 of the family's 1831-position model. The record is from RNAcentral. Lineage: Eukaryota; Fungi; Ascomycota.
GUCUAGUAUAAGCAAUUAUACAGCGAAACUGCGAAUGGCUCAUUAUAUAAGUUAUCGUUUAUUUGAUAGUGCCUUACUACUUGGAUAACCGUGGUAAUUCUAGAGCUAAUACAUGCUAAAAACCCCGACUUCGGAAGGGGUGUAUUUAUUAGAUACAAAACCAAUGCCCUUCGGGGCUCUUUGGUGAUUCAUGAUAACUAUACGAAUCGCACGGCCUUGCGCCGGCGAUGGUUCAUUCAAAUUUCUUCCCUAUCAACUUUCGAUGUUUGGGUAUUGGCCAAACAUGGUUGCAACGGGUAACGGAGGGUUAGGGCUCGACCCCGGAGAAGGAGCCUGAGAAAUGGCUACUACAUCCAAGGAAGGCAGCAGGCGCGCAAAUUACCCAAUCCCGACUCGGGGAGGUAGUGACAAUAAAUACUGAUACAGGGCCCUUUCGGGCCUUGUAAUUGGAAUGAGUACAAUUUAAAUCCCUUAACGAGGAACAAUUGGAGGGCAAGUCUGGUGCCAGCAGCCGCGGUAAUUCCAGCUCCAAUAGCGUAUAUUAAAGUUGUUGUGGUUAAAAAGCUCGUAGUUGAACCUUGGGCCUGGCUGGCCGGUCCGCCUCACCACGUGCACUGGUCCGGCCGGGCCUUUCCCUCUGUGGAACCCCAUACCCUUCACUGGGCGUGGCGGGGAAACAGGACAUUUACUUUGAAAAAAUUAGAGUGCUCCAGGCAGGCCUAUGCUCGAAUACAUUAGCAUGGAAUAAUAAAAUAGGACGCGCGGUUCUAUUUUGUUGGUUUAUAGGACCGCCGUAAUGAUUAAUAGGGACAGUCGGGGGGCAUCAGUAUUCAACUGUCAGAAGUGAAAUUCUUGGAUCAG